GUGCCAGCAGCCGCGGUAAUACAGAGGUGGCAAGCGUUGUUCGGAAUUACUGGGCGUAAAGGGCGCGUAGGCGGCCUUCUCAGUCAGACGUGAAAUCCCCGGGCUUAACUCGGGAACUGCGUCUGAUACUGGAAGGCUAGAGUUCGGGAGAGGGAUGUGGAAUUCCAGGUGUAGCGGUGAAAUGCGUAGAUAUCUGGAGGAACACCGGUGGCGAAGGCGGCAUCCUGGACCGAAACUGACGCUGAUGCGCGAAAGCCAGGGGAGCAAACGGGAUUAGAUACCCCGGUAGUCCUAGCCCUAAACCAUCAGGACUUGGCGUGGGCCCCGUCCGGGGUCCGUGUCGUAGCCAACGUGAUAAGUCCUGCGCCUGGGGAGUACGGUCGCAAGGCUGAAACUCAAAUGAAUUGACGG
RNAcentral lists this ribosomal RNA (411 nucleotides) under uncultured bacterium. RNAcentral's name for it is "bacterial SSU rRNA". It matches the Rfam family "Bacterial small subunit ribosomal RNA", at positions 505 to 916 of the family's 1533-position model. The record is from RNAcentral.